RNAcentral lists this ribosomal RNA (433 nucleotides) under uncultured bacterium. RNAcentral describes it as "partial 16S ribosomal RNA". It matches the Rfam family "Bacterial small subunit ribosomal RNA", at positions 29 to 507 of the family's 1533-position model. The record is from RNAcentral.
AACGAACGCUGGCGGCAGGCCUAACACAUGCCAGUCGAGCGAGCAUUUCGGUGCUAGCGGCGGACGGGUGAGUAACGCGUGGGAACGUGCCCUUUUCUGCGGAAUAGUCCUGGGAAACUGGGGGUAAUACCGCAUACGCCCUUUUGGGGAAAGAUUUAUCGGAGAAGGAUCGGCCCGCGUUGGAUUAGGUAGUUGGUGGGGUAAUGGCCCACCAAGCCGACGAUCCAUAGCUGGUUUGAGAGGAUGAUCAGCCACACUGGGACUGAGACACGGCCCAGACUCCUACGGGAGGCAGCAGUGGGGAAUCUUAGACAAUGGGGGCAACCCUGAUCUAGCCAUGCCGCGUGAGUGAUGAAGGCCUUAGGGUUGUAAAGCUCUUUCAGCUGGGAAGAUAAUGACGGUACCAGCAGAAGAAGCCCCGGCUAACCCCGUG